CAGAGUUUGAUCCUGGCUCAGGACGAACGCUGGCGGCGUGCUUAACACAUGCAAGUCGAGCGGAAAGGCCCUUCGGGGUACUCGAGCGGCGAACGGGUGAGUAACACGUGAGCAACCUGCCCCUGACUCUGGGAUAAGCCCGGGAAACUGGGUCUAAUACCGGAUACGACCGCCUCCGGCAUCGGAUGGUGGUGGAAAGUUUUUCGGUUGGGGAUGGGCUCGCGGCCUAUCAGCUUGUUGGUGGGGUAGUGGCCUACCAAGGCGACGACGGGUAGCCGGCCUGAGAGGGCGACCGGCCACACUGGGACUGAGACACGGCCCAGACUCCUACGGGAGGCAGCAGUGGGGAAUAUUGCGCAAUGGGCGAAAGCCUGACGCAGCGACGCCGCGUGGGGGAUGACGGCCUUCGGGUUGUAAACCUCUUUCAGCAGGGACGAAGUUGACGUGUACCUGCAGAAGAAGCGCCGGCUAACUACGUGCCAGCAGCCGCGGUAAUACGUAGGGCGCAAGCGUUGUCCGGAAUUAUUGGGCGUAAAGAG
This 539-nucleotide ribosomal RNA is filed under the name Nonomuraea sp. SAUK6049. RNAcentral's name for it is "bacterial SSU rRNA". It matches the Rfam family "Bacterial small subunit ribosomal RNA", at positions 8 to 567 of the family's 1533-position model. Lineage: Bacteria; Bacillati; Actinomycetota; Actinomycetes; Streptosporangiales; Streptosporangiaceae. The record is from RNAcentral.